RNAcentral lists this ribosomal RNA (786 nucleotides) under uncultured bacterium. Its description in RNAcentral is "bacterial SSU rRNA". It matches the Rfam family "Bacterial small subunit ribosomal RNA", at positions 60 to 858 of the family's 1533-position model. The record is from RNAcentral.
AGUUGAGCGGAGAUAUAUGGAGCUUGCUUUAUAUAACUUAGCAGCGAACGGGUGAGUAACACGUAGAUAAUCUAUCCUAUACUGGGGGAUAGCCCGAUGAAAGUUGGAUUAAUACCGCAUAUAGCUAUAUAGUUGCAUGAUUAUGUAGUGAAAGAUUUAUUGGUAUAGGAGGAGUCUGCGGCACAUUAGCUAGUAGGUGAGGUAAAGGCUUACCUAGGCGACGAUGUGUAGCCGGUCUGAGAGGAUGAACGGCCACAAUGGAACUGAGACACGGUCCAUACUCCUACGGGAGGCAGCAGUGGGGAAUAUUGCACAAUGGGGGAAACCCUGAUGCAGCAACGCCGCGUGAGUGAAGAAGGUUUUCGGAUUGUAAAGCUCUGUUAGCAGGGAAGAGGAAGGACGGUACCUGCAGAGGAAGCCACGGCUAACUACGUGCCAGCAGCCGCGGUAAUACGUAGGUGGCAAGCGUUGUUCGGAAUAACUGGGCGUAAAGGAUGCGUAGGCGGUUAAACAAGUUAUAUGUUAAAUAUAUAGGCUUAACCUGUAGAAAGCAUAUAAAACUGUUUAACUAGAGUGCAGGAGAGGUAAGUGGAAUUCCUAGUGUAGCGGUGAAAUGCGUAGAGAUUAGGAAGAACACCAGUGGCGAAGGCGACUUACUGGACUGUAACUGACGCUGAGGCAUGAGAGCAUGGGGAGCAAACAGGAUUAGAUACCCUGGUAGUCCAUGCUGUAAACGAUGGGUACUAGGUGUGGGUUGUGAAUAACAAUUCGUGCCGUCGCAAACGC